GCUUUCAUAGGUGCUCGCUCACAACACUUUCUGCAAAAGACUGUUAAGGCUAUAAGAGGGACCUUUGUCUUUUCUGUGCCUCCCUUGCUCUCCACUCCCACAGAUCACAUCCCUGAAUCUAACGUGCAAUGACCUGCACCGGUUGGAUGACCUGGCAAAACUUGCCCAGCACACUCCAUCUCUCAAGAAGCUGAACCUCUCCAAAAACAAUCUCAAAGAUGUGAGGGAACUUUACCCACUGAAGGCCUUCAAUUUGAAAGAGCUAUGGCUGAAGGGGAAUCCGCUGUGCGACUCCUUCCACGACCCAAAUGCCGACAUCAGGUACCGCUCCUUUGUCAUGAAUGCGACAUUGCCCGCUUACCCAUUCGCCUGUCCGUCCACGUAGCUGCCCACUCACCCAGGCACUCACUCGUCCUCAUGCUUAUCCACCCACUCAUCUACAUGGUUUAUCUUUGUGGUUGCCUGUUCAACCGAUGGCUCGCCCGCACGCCUACUCCCCCACCCUCCAGCUUCACCCAUGCACUCAACACCCCGCUCUCAACACCCCGCUCGCUCAUGCGUUCAUCCACCCGGUCACUCACACACACUCCCUUGGCCUUUUGUGUCCCAUCUCUAACUGCAUGUGUGUGUGUCAACAGCUUCGUGCGAAAACACUUUCCACAGCUCGUGAUCCUGGUGAGUGACCCUCCACAGAUGCCGGCCCUCAAGCUAUCCCCACUCUCUGUGAUAUUUGUGUCUCCGUGCAUUCCAGUUUCCCCACAUGUGCAAAAGUGCUUGUGAUUAGAGGAUUUUGCCAAAUGCACCAAGUAAAACACUUCUGAAGAAGGUCAUCAUUACCUGCCUUGGUCAAACUACUGCUGGAUGAAUACCUCCCCUAAGCCAUUGAAAUUUCUCAUGAUUGCGAAAUUGUAAUAACCCACCUAGCACCUGCCCAUGAACAACUGUUAGAUGGGUUCCAUCUCAUUGCUGCAUUCUUGAUCAUCAGCCAUUAACCCUUAUAAUGACGUGUCCUGCCCGAGCCCACUUAAGUUUCUUAACUGUUUGUAUAAGAGUUCACUUAAGAAAAGGUUACGUGCAGUUUACAGAUGACACAGAGGAACAUGAGCAGCUGUUGAAUGUCAUUAUGUUUUUUUGUUUUUGUCCUGCUGGCGGUUAUCAACAUCAUCACUUAUUGCUUCAAUCAUCUAUCUCUAACACCAUCUUUGACUAUCUUCGUCACACAUCUACCAUCAUUACCACAAUCAUCACUAUCAUCAUCAUCAUCACAAACACCACCACUAUUGCCGUCAUCUUCAUCCUGACCGCCAACAUCAUAAUGUAAUUCCAUCAUCACCAUGAUCCCUUUCACCAUAACUACUACUACCACAACAAUCAUUACCAUUAUCUUCAUCACCACGACUACUGUUACCAUAAUCAUGCUCACCACUAUAAUCAAUCACAAUCAUUAUCGCCAUGAUCUAUACCACUUUUUACAACCACUACCUUCACCAUUGUCACCAUCAGGAUGGGCAGAUGCUUUCGCAGCUGCGAAGUUCUACGCCUGCGGUGCCCUCCACGCCUGUGGUGGUGCACAGAAUUGCGGAGAACAGCUGGCAGUUCCAGCAGUGUGCGAACACCCUCAUGGAACUGAACUGAGCAGGCGUCCGCCGCAGAUUGCUGGCGAUCUCGGCACACGUUCUCCUACCAACCCUUUCCUCCACAACCCUUGUACAUUGUAAUUUAUUUGUUUUUACCCCAUUUGGAGGGAGAGGAAAAAAAUAAAAAAUAACUAUAUUUGAAACUGUGUCCUCAAACUCACGACACACUAACACCUUGUACCCUGGUUGUUAUUUCCCCCCACCUAUAACCAUGACAUCACAGGACGCUGGCAUGACGCAAUGGUUGGUACACAAUCCAGAAGUCGCUAGUUUGAUCUGUUUUCGUGGUAAUCAAUGGAAACGUUUCCUAAAUCCAUCCGGCUUAUAUCCACACAACCGAUAUGCUUGAGUGGAUAAACAAUUGGAAGAACGCAAACAUCCCAAAGAAGCGCCUCAUUGUGGAUCAAACCAUCAGGAAGCUCACUGGCCCCCCACCACCGCAAGCAGUGGGACUCCAUACAUCAGAUCCAACCUGGC
This is a non-coding RNA of Petromyzon marinus (sea lamprey), 2114 nucleotides long. The record is from RefSeq and is a predicted model, not a curated record. Lineage: Eukaryota; Metazoa; Chordata; Hyperoartia; Petromyzontiformes; Petromyzontidae.